Molecule: long non-coding RNA, 6739 nt
Organism: Ailuropoda melanoleuca (giant panda)
Lineage: Eukaryota; Metazoa; Chordata; Mammalia; Carnivora; Ursidae
Exons: 2
Source: RefSeq, a predicted model, not a curated record
CCCGCGGCCUCUGCGUGUCCCGCGCUGUGUGCGGGUGCUGGCUCCAGGGCCGGUCCCGGCUGGAUGUGCAGCAGGCUCUCUUCCAAAAAUGGUGGCGCACCAGCUGCCAUCCCGCAGUGCCGUGGGCACACCUCCGCUGAGAGAUGGGUUCUCCUCCCUUCCCUUGAACCGGGUGGAUCUUCACGACUUCUUCAACCCAAACGAUGUGCUGGAAAUGGUGCUUCUGCGGUGAGGUCGUAGAAGGCAGUAUGGCUUCCUCCUGACCCUCUCCUCAGGACGCUUGUCCAGGGAACCCAGACGCGGUCUUGGCAGGAAGCCCAGGGCACACAGAGGGCCUCCCUGUGGCUAUUUUGGCCCUUAGCCCCAGCGAGGCCCAGUUGGUGGGUCUCACCCAGAGUGGGUGGUCGGUCAGGAGGUUCCAGCUGAGGACCCGGACAUCGUGGGGGAAAGACCAGCUGACUCAUACAGACUGUGAGAAAGAGUAACUGACGACUGCUGCCUUAAGCUGCUAAGUUUAGGAAUGACCGGUUAUGCGGCUAUAGCUGACUGAUGCAGGUGGCCAGCGUGGAUGCCAAGAGCCCUACCAGCUGUCCUCGGCUCUCACUCUACGCCCACUCUCUUCUGAUCCGUCUCCCACACUCAGGCUGGAGGGCAGACAGCAGCGCAGGUGCCCACACGGGUGCUGGCCUGGUCAUAAGCCUGCUUAAAGACCCACCACCAGACCUCAUUGUCCACCCUGCAGACGGGAUCCUGUUCAGCGCCAGCUCACCCAGAGCCCACGGCCAGGCUCUCUCCCUCUGGAACCCGCCUUCUCCCACUUCAUUCCCAAUGGACUCGUGGUUGUGUGGUCAGUGCUACUGUCAUGGCUCCCAGCCCUGUGGUGACAUGAAAUGCUGGGAGGCCUGGCCACUCCUCGGAAGGCUUUGUAUACAAAAGACAACAAAGCCACAGCAAAAACUUGAAGGUAAAGACGCCUCUGUGUUUCACCACUGGGCCCUGGAAGCCCGGCUGCUCAAGGGAGCCACUUGGAAAGCAGCCCGGCAUCUAGCGGGGCCAGGAACACAGGGCCCUGGGCUGGCCUCACUGGGCACAGUCGAGUCAGGAGCUGCCCAGGGCAUGGGGGACAGAGAGGACAACAGGCCCUGCACCUGGGCCACCCAAGCAGCACAGGUGGGCUUCUCCUUAGUGUUCAGCUCAGUGCCUGGCGGGGAGGGUACUCACUCCCGGCCCCACCCCAGCCCAAUGAUCUCGGCUGUGUUCCAGUCGCUGGACUACCUGCCCACACCUUCCUGCAGGACAAAGUGGACAGGAUGACAAACAGGUGAGCUGGAGGGACCGUGGGCUCUCCAGGGAGGAGGGCUCCGGGGCGCAGCUCCUGGGCAAGCCAGGUACAGGUCUUACUGUGGAGCCCGUGCUCAGGCAGAGCUCUGCCCUGGGUUUAUAAGCAGCACCCACCGUUUCCCUGAGAGGUGGGGCCGUCUCCACAGAGCAAGACUGACGGGGUGAGGGAUGGGGGUUGAGUGGCAGCCAGCAGGGCCUCACCCCCUCACCUGGGCCCAUCUGUUAGCCUGCAGCUGCUCUGCUGUGCACACCAGCACCAAGAGCCAGCUGGGACCCCACGGUGCCCAGCGCCCACCUGGAGAGAUGCACGUGUCCUGGCUUCACUUCAGAGGGUCUGAGGAUGUUCUGAGGCUGGGGCCCCACCCUGGGACAGCAACAGCCCCCUUCACCACGAAGCCCUCCUGAGCAGGAGGAGGAAGGUCUCUGAUCCACGCUCCAGACUUUUGCUCAAUGGCCCGGAGAGCUGGAGGUCCACAGCACUGUGCUGUAAUGGCCCACGAAUUCAGUGGCAGAUGUUGGGGGGGGCAGAGGUGGCUUCCUGUAACCGGGGUCCCUCGGUCACCCAGUGCCCUGUGAGGUGUGAUCCCGGGGAUGCAGCUGGCCCACCAGAGUCUGAAGCCAGCAGAGGAAGCUUGCUGUGGAAAUUCUGUCUCCCACAGCAAAUGGCACGCUGUGUUACAACCCCGAGCACAGUUCUGCUGGGCACCAGGAACCGCUGAUGCCUAGGAGACCACACAUUCUGGGGCCUCCCACAGUUCUGAUCCCGGUCUGGGCAUAUGCAAACACCCUAGGGAUUCGGACGUAAGCAUCAGUCCCGGAGACUCAGCCAGGCUGGCACUGAGAGGCACCAGAGGGGAGGUCCUGACUGCUGCUGAUGGGCGGAGCAGGCAGGUCCCCACAGCGUGCAGCCCUGUUGCACCAGAGGCUCAGUUCUCGAAAUCUUACAGACGUGCUCACACCGAAGCCCAAGGGUCACGCACAGAAUGGUCACUGCGGUGUUAUCCACAGUAGUUCUGGUAACAAGAAACUGGACGCAGCUGAAACAUCCAACACCAUGGGAAUAAACAGAUGACGUUCCCGCAUCAUCACGGAUUUCAGGGCCAUCGAGUGGAACGCUCACAAGAAUAAUACCGAGCAAUGAAAAGAAACCUCUGUGAUCUGCUAUGCCUGAUGGAGCCUGGAAACGUUAAAUUCAGACACGGAAGGAAGGUAGCCGAGACAGUGCCAGGGCUGAGGGGCGCCGAGGGUUAGCGCUUGACAGGGUUAGAGUCUGUCUGGGAGGACAAAGCAGCGCGGAGACGGCCAGCGGGGAUGGCUGUGAAGUAUUACUACGCUCAGUGCCGCUGAGCUGAUUUAAAAAUGGUCAAGAUGGUGAGCUUUAUGUUUCACAGACUUUACCACAACUGAGGGCUGGUGGUCAAACAGAAGAGGGUGCCCCUGUGGUACCGGAGCAGAAGGUAACGGGUCAGCACACUGUGGACAAGUGUGGACGCACAAUUCCAUUUUUGUAAGAAAACAGCUAUAGCCGUGUGUGUCUGCACGUGUGCGCAGAAUUAUCUAGAAAGCUACAUACCUGUUAACAGUGGUUACCCUGGGAGGGUGCCAGGGGACUUACUUUACGGGCUUCUGUUCUGUUUGACCGUGGUCACGCACAAUGACAAAAGAGAAGUUUAAAGAGUGACGUGGCGUUUGCUUCCAGAGAAGAGAGGCACAAUGGGGUUCACAUGCCGCGUAGUCAGUAGCGCCCGCCCUCUGAGCGGUCACGUUCACUGGCUGUGGAACUGCACAGCGACCAAGCAGGGCACGCACUUCCAUCUGAACGUGGCUCGCUAUACAAAGUGAGUGUUUGGCAUAGAAAUCUCUCUCAGUUCCUGAAAUCAAGCAAAAACUUAAACACGCCACCAACGGCUCACUAGCAGAAUUUUUUUUUUUUCAAGAUUUUAUUUAUUUAUUCAACAGAGACAGCCAGCGAGAGAGGGAACACAAGCAGGGGGAGUGGGAGAGGAAGAAGCAGGCUCAUAGCGGAGGAGCCUGAUGUGGGGCUCGAUCCCAGAACACGGGAUCACGCCCUGAGCCGAAGGCAGACGCCUAACGACUGAGCCACCCAGGCGCCCCACGAGCAUAAUUUUUUUAAAGGUUUUUAUUGAUUCGAGAGUGAGCAAGCGAGUGCAUGUGUACAAGUGGGAGAGGGGCAGACGGAGAGAAUCUGAAGCAGACUCUGUGCCAAGCACAGAGCCCAACGCGGGGCUCGAUCCCAUGACCCUGGGAUCACGACCUGAGCCGAGAGUCAGUCACUUAACUGACUGAGCCACUCAGGCUCCCCUCAUAAUUUUUGAUUAAGAAGAAUGUGCUCAGUCAGAAUGUGAACAAGCUCGAUACGGAUUCUCACGGCUGCUGGGUGAAGACCGCCCGCCACCCAGGAGAGCGACAGCCCCGAGCACCAGGGAUAAACUGCGCGUCACCUACACGGCCCUUUACAAGAGCAGCACUUAUCUCCCUCUAAGACGGUCAGACUCUAAUUUGUCUGUAAGUAGAGGGUUCAAGGCAGAAGUAGAGACGCUCACUGGUCUUUGAAGCUGGCCUUUCUCUUUUCCACAAACGCGGUCAUCCCUUCUUUCCGAUCUUCCUGGUGGGAAAGGGAACAAGGGAGAGAUGGACGGGGCUCUGCAGACUGCGGGGCUCUGCCUGUCUCUGGGUUUGCUCACAGUCUGGCGGGUUCCUCUGAAACUUGCAUCAGGACUACCCGGAAACCUGGGAAUAGCCUGGAGUCCCUGACCACCUAGGGCUGGCCUGGAAGUGGAUUUUUAUAUGCCCCUCCCAGCCCCCAGGUGUGAUCAUUCAGGAACCACUCAUUUGUGUCAAAGUCUCACCCACAGAGAACCUCAGCUGUGCCCGUUUGGGUCAUGCCCUAAUUCAUCACCUGGGUGUGUGCCAUGUAUGCGCACACCUUCACUUCCUCAAGAGCGAAGUCACGUCUAAUCUCUCAUGAAACACCUACACCAGACUUUCUGAUACUAAGAGAUGGGUUUUAAUGACUUACAAGAAGGCCUCUCUUUCAGCGACUGUCAAACCCUAGAAAACACUGAUCUGAAGCGUCAGAUAGCAGUAUGAGAAUACAUCCAGACUCCGUUCCAAGUAACUGGAAUGAUGUAGAAAAUUAUGGGCAGACGGAGUGCAUUUCAAUACAGGAGCAACUCAUCAGACUUUUUGUAACAGGAAGUCACCCUUCAUUCUUGUGAACUUUUACACACUGUGCUCACUUGCAAAGAUCAUGCUUGUGGACAGGACACAUGUAAUCAGCUACAGGGAAAGCACACAAUCUGACCAAACAGAAACGGUGUUUAAUGAAAAAGCCUACAAGGAGAUUCCCAGUGAUUUCUAUGGCUGGACCAUGUGUGUCUCCACUGAAUGUUUACUCACGGUAGCAAAAGUUGAAUAGAAGAGCUUCUUCUCCAGCUUGUUUCCCUCUGUUAGCGUCAUUUCAAAAGCUGAAAGAGAGAACCCCGAAGUUACGAACUCAGGUGUUAGAGGUGGGAACAUGCAACCUUUUUUAUGGGGCUAGGAAACAUUCCCCACUGACCCACAUCCACCUUAAUUUCAUGGUGAUUUAGACCGUAGCCUGGGAAGCACCCCCUCCCCAAAUGCCCUGCCCUGCCAAGACUCCAGCAGAGCAACCCACUCGGUGCUUCACCCCCCGUGGCCCCAAGAAGAGGCACGAGAAACUGAACAAAGGGUGCAAUGGGUAACUCUGUCCAAUCACAGGAGAAUAUGAGAGCCUGCAGAAUUACAUCUGUUUUAUUAUUUUUUAGAAGAUUUUAUUUUGAGAGCGAGAACACGCGUGUGCAUGAGCAUGGGGAGAGCAGAGACACCGGGGGAGAGAGUCACAAGCUAAGUGCAGAGCUGGACAGGGGGCUCAAUAUCGUCGCAACCCUGAGAUCAUCACCUGAGCCAAAACCAAGAGUCAGAUGCUCAACGGACUGAGCUCCCCAGAAUUAAGUAUGCUUUAAAAAGCUUAAAAAUUAAGGAUGAAAAAGGAAUAUGCCAGGACAGAGUCCCAGGUGGUAAGAAUACCACUGCUCUGGGCCGUCCUUCCAGCGAAGGUGAAGUGUCUUCCUUGGUGAGCACCUGGCGUAACGGCAGGUGCCUCUGACUGUGGCCUCACCGGCCCUCUGCAAGAACAGCAGUGUCCACCUCUUAAGCGAGUGCUACCUACUCAUCCUUGUGGAUGCGUCACAAACAUCAGCUCAGCCGACCAAGGCCGCAGCAGCCCGGGGGAUGUGACUGCCUCCCUGCAGAAGGGCACGAGACCUGGAGCGGCUCAGCAACUACCCCGGGCUCAUGGCCUCCUCAACAGGCAGCCCGGCCCUGGGCAGUAUUACCCCAGUGCUGAGCACAACCUGCUACAUUAAGACCCCAGAAAUUCUCAGGAGGGCUCAGAGCUGCUCUGCCGGGAGAGAGAGGACGGAGAGUGCAGAGCAAUAAGGGGCAGCAUGAACUCUGUCCCUGGUUCACAUUGGUGUCCCGUGAGCCCACACGGCCACCAGGCUGCAGGCACAACUGCUGGCUGAGGAGAGGGGCAUCUUCCACCAGGAUCCAGGAGGUGAGCCGGGUUUACCAGGAGCCAGACUGGCUUUUCUUAAGGGACUGACUUGCCCUGCCCAGCCAUUUCCCUGCACCCUAGCGCCUGUCACUCUCUGUCCCUCAGGCUGGCCCCUUUCUUGGGUCCUGAUACCAAAGACAACUCAGAACAUUUCAGGAGAAUCUGUGAGCCAGCAACCAAAGAUCGGAACUCUAAAAGAGCCAGAAUCCCAACGUUAAGAACCCUCCCAACUUCUGUCCAGGGUGGGUUAAGAUGCAUCAUUUAGAACCAUAGCUCCUGACUGCUCCUGUGUCACCCGGCCCUCAGAAUCUCUCCUCCUGGCAGAACCCGUACCUGCAUUCACGGACUCUUUGGCCAUUGCUGCUACGAUUUUAGAAUUGCUGGCAAUUUUCUCUGCACACUGGAUGGCUUCUUCGACCAGUCUCUCCACAGGAAAAAUUUUGCUUACGAGACCUAAACACAAACAGGUAAAUGACAAGUGCAAACAGCACUGGCUAUGCCUCUCUGAGUCACGAUGCUGCCCCUAGAGCUGGGGUUUUCUGGGGGCCAACAAGGGGCUGCAGGGACGCAGGCUCAACACCGACCCUUAGGUGGGGCCACGAGGCUCUUUCAGACACACCAACAGGGAAGAAGAGCAGAUCACCUGGGGGGGGGGAAAGGGUGUGCCCACGAGGGUCUCAGAGAUAUCCCACUGCUGACUUGGGGCUUGGGAAACAGGAUGGUUUUGACUCUUGAACCUGAUGUAUAUUUUACUCUCUUGUAUGUGUGGCAUUCCAAAUAAAAACAAAGGCAUUUGUC